Molecule: RNA transcript, 3163 nt
Organism: Amphiprion ocellaris (clown anemonefish)
Lineage: Eukaryota; Metazoa; Chordata; Actinopteri; Pomacentridae
Gene: wipi1
Gene name: WD repeat domain, phosphoinositide interacting 1
Exons: 14
Source: RefSeq, a predicted model, not a curated record
UCCUGACCAAUGAGAAUGCAAGCAGCCGCAACGUGUCGACUGACAGCCAAUCGCAGGAGGCGGAGCUGUGACGUAGGCCGUCAGCUGUUCUUGUUUUGCUUCUUUUCCUCUUCUUCUCCGGAUCUGGAUCUCCGAACCCUGAAGGACCCGAACUCACGCCGAAUCCGAGCUCAUCUCCAGGGAGGCCGCAGGUUCCGGUCCGGACGGUUCGGAGCUUUUCUCCGCUGUGGAUUCGUCUUCCGCCGACAUCGAGCGACGAGGUGCUGCCGAUCCCAGGCCUCCAGUCCAGGGCGGAGGGCGGGAAGGAGGCCGCCGGGAUCCAGGAUGGAGAGCACCGAGGCUGGAGGGUCUGGAGCCGACGGAACCGAGCUCCGGUUCGGCUGCGCCUCCUUCAACCAAGACUCCACGUCUCUGGCUUUGGGAACCAGAACCGGCUAUAAGCUGUUUUCUCUGACCAUGGUGGAGAAACUGGACUGCAUCCAUGAGAGUGCAGAGACUCCAGAUGUCUACAUCGUGGAGCGUCUGUUCUCCAGCAGUCUGGUUGUCGUGGUGAGCAGUGCCAUGCCAGAGCGCAUGAACAUCUACCACUUCAAGAAGGGCACGGAGAUCUGCAACUACAGCUACCCCGAGAACAUCCUGGCUGUCAAGCUUAACCGACAGAGACUAGUGGUGUGCCUUGAAGAGUCCAUCUACAUCCACAACAUCAAAGACAUGAAGCUGCUGAAGACUCUGCUCAACACUCCGUCCAACCCCUCAGGUCUCUGUGCUCUUUCCAUCACUCAUUCCAACUCCUACCUGGCAUAUCCGGGCAGCUUCAGCACCGGGGAGGUGGUCGUGUACGACACCAUCAGUCUGAACACUGUCACUGUGAUUCCUGCUCAUGAUAGUCCUCUAGCAGCCCUCACCUUCAACGCUUCAGCCACCAGACUCGCCAGCGCCUCAGAGAGGGGCACCGUCAUCCGAGUCUUCUCUGUUCCUGAAGGACUACGUCUGUUUGAAUUCCGCCGAGGCAUGAAGAGGUACGUCAGCAUCAGCUCUCUCUGCUUCAGCCCCGAUGGUCUCUAUCUGGUCUCCUCCAGCAACACAGAGACCGUCCACAUCUUUAAACUGGAACCACUGGGACCAAGUGCUGAGGAUGAAGCUGCCUCCUGGACAGCGUACAUGGGGAAGAUGUUCUCAGCAGCUUCCACCUAUCUACCUGCCCAGGUGUCUGGGAUGAUGAGUCAGGACCGGGCCUUUGCCACCGUUCACCUGCUGUCAGCUGCUCAGAGGAACGUCUGCACUCUGGCUGUGAUCCAGAAGCUUCCCCGGCUGCUGGUGGCUACAGCUGAAGGCCAGCUGUUCAUCUACAACGUUGAUCCUCUUCAGGGUGGCGAGUGCACGCUGGCCUUCAAACACAGGCUGUUUGGAGCUGAGGAUGAGCAGAGCGAAGGAGAACCUGAAGGGUUGGAGGUCCCAGCUCAGUCCUGUCCAUCCUACGCUGAAACUGCUGCUUUACCUCCGUCUGCUCCGGUUACUGCAACCCUGACCGGCUACUCUGAAGAUGGCGGCGCUAAGAAAGGAGAAGUCAUUCCAGAACACGAGUUUGCUGCUGGACCUGUUUGUCUGGAUGACGAGAACGAGUUUCCUCCUAUUAAUUGGUGUCGGAACGGGACCGGAGGCGUCCAGGUGAGGCGCUCCUGAGCAGGUAGAAGAACAGAAGGACAAACAACACUUCAGGGUGCCAAGAUCCUUCACAGUAGAGACGACCGCUCACUUCCACUAGCAUUAAGCUAAAGAACAGCAGCAUGUUCCAGAACACCUGUACAGCAUUCCUGGAGGCUGAAGAGCAGCUGAUCAGAGUCAGUUUAUCACAGAGGCAACACAGAAACAUUCACACCUGCAGCCAGUUAAGAAUCACUAAUUAACCUCUGAAUGUGUGGACUGAGGGAGGAAGCUGAAGCAGAAGACCAGAUCCAGGACCUCCAGCUGGGUGAUGUUCUCCAGCUGUGUUCUUUAUCAGUUCAGCAUUAUUUAAUCUGAUAAUAAUAUAAAGGUUGUAUUGUGCAACUCCAUUGUGUGACCUGAAAACCAACAGGACUAGAUGCUCCUGGUUCCAGUGGAAGAAGAUAAACAUCUGACAGUGGAACAUGAAGGAUGGAACCCAGGUCUCUGUGGCAAAGAGCAGCAGCAUGAAACCUGAGACCCUCUGUUGCUUACAAGAACUUUAUUGUGCUUUUCACUGUGAGGAGAAUGAGGCAAGUCUCUGAGUGUCAGUUACUGUCUAAUCUAACUUGUUGGUUUUUGUCCUGGACUGGAAUCUCAGACACAAUGUGAUAAAGCAGCUGAUAGAUAGAAAAACCCUCAGAGGGUCAACAGGAUCUGAGCCUAACAGGAAGAAAUAACAAACAGAGUUGUGAACCAUCUUUAUCAACAGUUCCUGUCUCAGGACUGACUUCAGCUCUGUUACAUAAGUCCUGUAAUCAGGUUGGACUUCAGACUGCAGCGAUUAGACUGUCAGAGUGAAAAGCAAACCAGAGGCAUCCUGGGCUUCGUUCAACAUGAUUCUGUCUCUUCAAUGGAUUCUUGGGUUGACCUUCAUGACUUCUUGACCAUAAAAUGCACUUAAAAAGAUCACAAGAGAUUCUUGAACACUUUUCAGUGGUUUAGUAACAACCAGUUUGACAUUUAGAACCUUUAACAGCUACAGUAGAACCAGAAGUUUAUAUCCACUGAUAAAGGCCAUGGAGGGUUAGGGCUCCUAGACAAUCCUGUAUUUUGGUUCUUUCAUAGAUUUAUUAAAGGUCUUUAGCAAAUAUGACAAAAUCUGCUGGAUCAUAAAAGUUCAUACAGAAAUAAUGUCCUUUAGUCAUUUCCACCUCAGUUGGGUUCUUCUGGUUUCCGUCCAGAAGCUUCUGGUUGAUCUUUGACUCCUCUGGACUGGUUCAGUUUCACUAAACUUCUUGUCUUUCUGGGUCAGACUUGGUUCUUCAGGUUCUAGUUUGGUUUAAAUCAGGACAUUGGAGAGACCAGUCUAGAACCUUCACUGAGUUCACUGAGAGGUCACCAUUCGGGACCAACGGUUUCAAAGGGAGGGAUUCACGUGCACUAAUUUCACUAACAUGUACGUGAGCUGGACUGGUUGCCAAGACAACGAAGCUGGAUUAAAAGUGUGACGACAUCA